This 427-nucleotide ribosomal RNA is filed under the name uncultured Streptococcus sp. Its description in RNAcentral is "bacterial SSU rRNA". It matches the Rfam family "Bacterial small subunit ribosomal RNA", at positions 353 to 772 of the family's 1533-position model. Lineage: Bacteria; Bacillati; Bacillota; Bacilli; Lactobacillales; Streptococcaceae. The record is from RNAcentral.
AGUAGGGAAUCUUCGGCAAUGGGGGGAACCCUGACCGAGCAACGCCGCGUGAGUGAAGAAGGUUUUCGGAUUGUAAAGCUCUGUUGUAAGAGAAGAACGAGUGUGAGAGUGGAAAGUUCACACUGUGACGGUAUCUUACCAGAAAGGGACGGCUAACUACGUGCCAGCAGCCGCGGUAAUACGUAGGUCCCGAGCGUUAUCCGGAUUUAUUGGGCGUAAAGCGAGCGCAGGCGGUUAGAUAAGUCUGAAGUUAAAGGCUGUGGCUUAACCAUAGUACGCUUUGGAAACUGUUUAACUUGAGUGCAGAAGGGGAGAGUGGAAUUCCAUGUGUAGCGGUGAAAUGCGUAGAUAUAUGGAGGAACACCGGUGGCGAAAGCGGCUCUCUGGUCUGUAACUGACGCUGAGGCUCGAAAGCGUGGGGAGCAAA